This 244-nucleotide long non-coding RNA is filed under the name Trifolium pratense (red clover). Its description in RNAcentral is "long non-coding RNA (TPRA_LNC007701)". Lineage: Eukaryota; Viridiplantae; Streptophyta; Magnoliopsida; Fabales; Fabaceae. The record is from RNAcentral.
CGUCUGUUUGGAUAAGCGUUUUCGCACAGCAAACGUGCGUUUCAGCCUCUCAGACGUGAUUUAUCACUUUUGCAGGAUGUUUGGUAAAAUAAUGGAAAAUCGAUUUUACUCCUCAGACUUGAUUCUACAUGAAGCUGCUAUUUGUAGCUUUCACGUCACGUUGAAUCGAUUUUGAAAGCUUAAUUAUGUGUUUAAAAUAUUUUUCAUCAUCUUUCUCUAUAUUGCCCUCGGUUUCGUGUGUGUC